Molecule: ribosomal RNA, 449 nt
Filed under: Nitrosospira sp.
Lineage: Bacteria; Pseudomonadati; Pseudomonadota; Betaproteobacteria; Nitrosomonadales; Nitrosomonadaceae
Description: bacterial SSU rRNA
Rfam family: Bacterial small subunit ribosomal RNA
Source: RNAcentral
GCAACGAGCGCAACCCUUAUCAUUAGUUGCCAACAUUUAAGGUGGGAACUCUAAUGAGACUGCCUGGGUUAACCAGGAGGAAGGUGAGGAUGACGUCAAGUCCGCAUGGCCCUUAUGUCUGGGGCUACACACGUGCUACAAUGGUCGGUACAGAAGGCAGCGAAGCCGCGAGGUGGAGCAAAUCCCAAAAGCCGAUCUCAGUUCAGAUUGUAGUCUGCAACUCGGCUACAUGAAGACGGAAUUGCUAGUAAUGGCGGGUCAGCACACCGCCGUGAAUACGUUCCCGGGUCUUGUACACACCGCCCGUCACAUCAUGGGAGUUGGUUUUGCCCGAAGUCGCUGACCUAACCGCAAGGGAGGAGGCGCCUAAGGUAAGGCCGAUGACUGGGAUGAAGUCGUAACAAGGUAGCCCUACCGGAAGGUGGGGCUGGAUCACCUCCUUUUAAGGA